Molecule: long non-coding RNA, 2903 nt
Filed under: Mytilus galloprovincialis (Mediterranean mussel)
Lineage: Eukaryota; Metazoa; Mollusca; Bivalvia; Mytilida; Mytilidae
Source: RNAcentral
CACACAGCAAAAUGUUUGGAGAUAAAUAUUUUGUGAAUAACAGAAAAGGUAAGUAAUUAUUGCUAUAUAUUAAGAACAACGUUAUGAACAUGAUGUUAUCAGACUCACAAGUUAAAUUAUUUUACCGAAUAAAGAAAUCGAAUUGUAUUCAAAUGAUAAAAACAGUCCCUGUUGUGUUUCUCAACCAAACAAAGUAACAUAUCGUGUGACACGUCACUUUUCUUCUUUAUUUUUGCUCGCUGAUGGAUGGAAAAUAAGUUCAAUUUUUGUGGUUCCAUUCAAAACUCUAAUUUGUUUUUCAAAGAAAUGUAUUGCUGGUAAUUUUGUUUUAAUCACCAGUAGAUUAAAUUCAGUUCUUUCUUUAAUAUAUUGAUAUAUUGUAUGUUUUAAUCAACACAAUUAUUGAAACCAUGUUUUGUCUAGUCUCAGCGAUAAUCAAAUUGUUGUUGUUUUACUCUCAAUAAAACAGUUUGGUUAGUUUAUAUAUAUUAGUGUUUUUUGGCAGUAGCAUAACAAUAAUAUCAGAUCACUCACUGCAAAAAUGUUAUUUUGUUUUUCAAUUGGUACGAAACGUCGCCCUUCCAAAGUUUCAAAGUUUAUAUAAGCCUUAUACAAAAACACUGAUCUAAUAUUGUGUAUUUGUACUUACAAUGUUGUUAGUAAUCAGAUCCAAUUGUGCAAUUCGAAACUUUUAUUUCAUACCAUCAAAUUUAUCAGAUGGAAUAUUAGUAAUGACUAUUUCACAUCAUAUCACUUAUUGAAAAGAAAUUAAACUUUGCAGGCCUCUUUUUGAAUAAGCAUUAUAGGCAUACACAAAGGGGAGAAGACAUCAAAAGGAAGUCAUUAGGAAUUACGACCUUUUAUUAGAGAAAGGACAAAACUUAUUUUGUUAUAACUUGUGUCAUUACUACUUUUAAAAAUGAAAUAUGUUUCAACUAAACAUUUUCGUUAACCUGAAACUAUAAUUGUUUUAUAGAAGUUGUGGUUUUACCGCAGACAAGUUUAAAUAUGGAAGUAUUAAAGUAAUAUAUACUUCCGUGAUUCUCAAUUGAGAUCACUAUGAAUGAUUGUGAUGUCCUUGACAUAGGGAGAUAGAAAGAUUUUAUCUGCCCACAACAAGGUAAAUGUUUUAGGAAGGGCGUCUCUAGAGAGGAACAUGAUAAUUUUAUCGUGGGUGAACACAUUUUCAUAUCUUCUUAUUUAGUAGUAUCAGGAUACUUAAUGUUUAAUUCCACCAUUGUCCUCUGCUUUUGAUGAAUGAAUAAGAUGAUAAAGUAUAGUUAUUAUAGUGCAGAUAUAUCAUUUGAAAGGUUACCUGCAUGUCACAAAAUAAAAUGGCCAUUUCCCACAUAGUUGUUGUGAAGAUCAGAUACGAUGGCAUAAAGUUCAGACAUCUUAUUUGGAGAUAAAAACAUUUUAAAGACUGUUGAUCUGGUCUAAACGCUAAAUUACAAAAUACAAUUAUGUAAUGCUAAACGAUGAAGUGAAUAACAAAAAAAAAAAAAAAAAAAAACCACAAACAAACAAACACAUAUGUUAUUGCAAAUCAUAGCGCUGAUAAGUGGCAGAAUAAUCAACAAUAAUUUCGUACUUAUGAUUCCAAGUGAUUCAAUAUGAUUAAGACAAAAUAUUUAUUUGGACAGGCAGAAAAAUACAACAUGCACAGUAGUUAUUCACUACUAGAUAUCAUUUGAUUUGAUUUGUGUAGGGUUGCUGUCUUAUUGAAUAAUUACAAUCUUUCUUAUAAUGCCUAGAUGCAUUAUUGAAUGUAAUUAAAAUUUUGAGGUUGUUAUUUAACAGAUUUUCUAGCACUUGUCAGAUGUCAUACUUUGACCAUAUCACAAUAUCACAGAACGCACAAUCUACUAGAAGAAACAACACUUUGCAAUUUUUUUAAAUAGCCAAUUUUACAACGAAUUAAUAAUAAAAAAUGAAUACAAAAUAAAAUUUAAAAAAACCAAUUAAAACUACAUUUAUAGAACUGUGCAUAUGAAACUUAAGCAUUUGCAUAUUGUUUUUCAUGUCAUUCAAUUUAAAUUGUAUUUUUUCCUUCAGUUUUUGACGGAAAAACCACCUUUCUUUUAAAGCUAUACCUCACGAUACCGACUGUAAUAUUUCAUGCGAUAUGUUUCCUGUAGGGGAUUUUCUGUAACAUGAAAUUGAAUACCAGACCCACUAUAGAGUCAAAACCAUCUGAGGAUAAUUGCUUAAAUAUAACAAUUAAAACAGGUACGAAGUAAUAUUGCUGUUGAUGCUGUUAAGUAAAAGAAUUCAAGUUCAAACACACACAAUCAUUAUGGAAACACUAUUUGUUUCAUGAUAUAUACGAACCAUAUUAUAUAAAGAAAAUCAUACACAGUCGAAUAUUUAUGUUUUAAGUAGCAUCUAUGAGAAUGCCAUUGUUCCCCAAAAAACAAAUUAUUCUUGCAAGAAGAGCUUGAUUAAAAAAAAAAUCACUUGCGGAAUCUUGAAAACUAUGAUGUAUUCAAUUCAAUAUAAUCAUUGCUAUCCUUUCAAAUAUGUUAAGAAUUGUAUCCGGGAUCUUUGGAAAAAUAACCUAGAAUAAUUAACUAUAUUGAUUAAAUACAACCUUAAGACGGAAAUGUUUUCAAACUGACUUUUAAGUUAUUUUGGGUUUAUUAUCAUAUGCUUGAUUACUGACAUCUACUGAAUAGCAAACCUUACUAAGCGUGUCAACUUUAAACGGAAUAAAUGAAUAAUCAAAUUUAUGAAAAAUUUUCAAGACAAGAAAGUUUUAUUGAAUACGUAGCACUAGGUAUGUAAAAUAUAAGAAUUGCAUUUUUAUGAUUUAAUUUUAGACAAAUCAUCAACAAUAUAUUUAUUUACGAGAAUAUCAACAACCAACGGAUACAAUUUCCAAUUCGGAGUGAGGCUGCAUCAUA